RNA transcript from Cyprinus carpio (common carp), 1939 nucleotides. It is a transcript of the gene named phosphoethanolamine N-methyltransferase 3-like, with no coding region annotated. Lineage: Eukaryota; Metazoa; Chordata; Actinopteri; Cypriniformes; Cyprinidae. The record is from RefSeq and is a predicted model, not a curated record. The transcript is spliced from 12 exons.
CCUAACCCCCCUGGAUUUCAGUGGGAUUAUUAUUCAUGUGUAAAGCGCAGGUCUCCUCCCCUCGCCCUAGUGGUCAGCGGAGUAAUAUAGACCCGGACAGGACAGCGCGCAUGAGUGUUUAAACAGACUUACAAACUGACUGAACAAACUGUUCCGGUGGAAAAGAGUUUGAUUUAUAUCUGUAUAUUCCGUUUUGUUAUUUAAUUUAAUUUUUUAUUUUUUUCUAUUUCACUGAUAUGGAAAAAGAAACCGAGCGAAACAUGAUGACGGAGUUCUGGAAGGAACAUUCCAAGUUUGCAACAGUAGAGGAGAUGAUGCUGGAUACAAACGCUCAGGAACUGACCCAACACGAGCUGCCAGAGAUUCUCUCCCUGCUCCCUUCUCUGGCUGGUUCUGAUGUGCUGGAACUCGGUGCUGGAAUCGGUCGGUUCACACGUCACCUCAUUGGCAAGGCCCGUCAUGUGACUGCUGUGGACUUCAUGGAGAAGUUUGUGGAAAAGAACAAAAAGGACAACAGUCACCUGGGCAACGCUGAGUUCAUCCAAGCUGAUGUCACAAAGCUGGACUUCCCUAAACACAGUUUUGAUGUGGUCUUCUCUAAUUGGCUGUUGAUGUAUCUGAGUGAUCAGGAGCUGAAGUCAUUGGCUGAUAAGUUCCUCAUGUGGCUCCGCCCAGGCGGCCACCUGUUCUUCAGAGAGUCCUGCUUUCACCAGUCAGGUGACUGCAAGCGAGAUUUCAACCCCACGCACUACAGAAGCCCUGCUUACUACAACCACCUGAUGACGUCACUCCUGCUGGACGAAUCAGAUCAGAUAGAGAAGAAAUGCUACGGGUUUGACAUGGUGCUCAAUAAGACAGUUCAGACCUAUGUGAAGAUGAAGAACAACCAGAACCAGUUGUGCUGGCUCAUGCAGAAAGUUCGUCGUGAUGUGGUUCAGCAGCAUCAGGGAGGCUUUUCCACAUUCCAGGAGUUUCUAGAUAACCAGCAGUACACCAGAAGAGGAAUCUUACGUUACGAGAAGAUGUUCGGAUCAGGAUACGUCAGCACAGGCGGAUUCAACACCACCAAGGAGUUUGUUGAUAUGCUGAACUUGACCGCCGGACAGAAAGUUCUUGAUGUUGGCUGUGGGAUCGGAGGUGGAGAUUUCUACAUGGCCAAGACCUUUGGGGUUGAGGUUCUGGGCAUGGACCUGUCAUCAAACAUGGUGGAGAUUGCCAUUGAGAGAGCCGUGAAGGAGAAACUGCCAUUAGUGCAGUUUGAGGUGUCAGAUGCCACAAAAAGAAGGUUUCCUGACGCCGCGUUUGAUGUGGUUUACAGCAGAGACACGAUUCUGCAUAUCAGGGACAAACUUGACCUCUUCGGAAAGUUUUAUGUGAGUGUUCUUACAGUCAUGGCUGAAGCCAGGUGGGAAACUUCUGAUCAGUGACUACUGCUGUGGAGAGAAGCCUUGGUCUCCAGCGUUUCAGGAUUACAUUAUCCAGCGAGGAUAUAUCCUCUACACACCUCAGAGAUACGGACAAUUCCUGGCUGAGGUGGGAUUCAGUAAUGUUCGCGCUGAGGACAGAACAGAGCAAUUUAUUCAGGUUAUAAAGGCUGAACUGCAGAGAGCCGAGGAGAUGAAAGAGGAGUUUAUACAGGAGUUCUCUGAGGAAGACUAUGAUGCCGUUGUAAACGGAUGGACAGAAAAACUGCAGCGCUGUGAGACUGGAGACCAACGCUGGGGGCUUUUCUAUGCCACCAAAGAAUGAGAGAGAGGAACAAUCCAACUAAUGAUCAAAUUCAAAUCAAUAUAUUUCAGAUGCUAUAUUAAACUUACUGUUCUUUCUAAUUCUGUGAAUUGCACAACAGUGCGCAAGAUUUGAGCAUCAGAGCUGUAAGGCCGACAUACUGUUAUGCAGCAUAAAUUUUAAUAAAAUUCUGCUUUUCUGUAUAAUUUAA